RNAcentral lists this ribosomal RNA (2829 nucleotides) under Pseudomonas aeruginosa. Its description in RNAcentral is "bacterial LSU rRNA". It matches the Rfam family "Bacterial large subunit ribosomal RNA". The record is from RNAcentral. Lineage: Bacteria; Pseudomonadati; Pseudomonadota; Gammaproteobacteria; Pseudomonadales; Pseudomonadaceae.
UCAAGUGAAGAAGCGCAUACGGUGGAUGCCUUGGCAGUCAGAGGCGAUGAAAGACGUGGUAGCCUGCGAAAAGCUUCGGGGAGUCGGCAAACAGACUUUGAUCCGGAGAUCUCUGAAUGGGGGAACCCACCUAGGAUAACCUAGGUAUCUUGUACUGAAUCCAUAGGUGCAAGAGGCGAACCAGGGGAACUGAAACAUCUAAGUACCCUGAGGAAAAGAAAUCAACCGAGAUUCCCUUAGUAGUGGCGAGCGAACGGGGAUUAGCCCUUAAGCUUCAUUGAUUUUAGCGGAACGCUCUGGAAAGUGCGGCCAUAGUGGGUGAUAGCCCCGUACGCGAAAGGAUCUUUGAAGUGAAAUCGAGUAGGACGGAGCACGAGAAACUUUGUCUGAACAUGGGGGGACCAUCCUCCAAGGCUAAAUACUACUGACUGACCGAUAGUGAACCAGUACCGUGAGGGAAAGGCGAAAAGAACCCCGGAGAGGGGAGUGAAAUAGAACCUGAAACCGUAUGCGUACAAGCAGUGGGAGCCUACUUGUUAGGUGACUGCGUACCUUUUGUAUAAUGGGUCAGCGACUUAUAUUCAGUGGCAAGCUUAACCGUAUAGGGUAGGCGUAGCGAAAGCGAGUCUUAAUAGGGCGUUUAGUCGCUGGGUAUAGACCCGAAACCGGGCGAUCUAUCCAUGAGCAGGUUGAAGGUUAGGUAACACUGACUGGAGGACCGAACCCACUCCCGUUGAAAAGGUAGGGGAUGACUUGUGGAUCGGAGUGAAAGGCUAAUCAAGCUCGGAGAUAGCUGGUUCUCCUCGAAAGCUAUUUAGGUAGCGCCUCAUGUAUCACUCUGGGGGGUAGAGCACUGUUUCGGCUAGGGGGUCAUCCCGACUUACCAAACCGAUGCAAACUCCGAAUACCCAGAAGUGCCGAGCAUGGGAGACACACGGCGGGUGCUAACGUCCGUCGUGAAAAGGGAAACAACCCAGACCGCCAGCUAAGGUCCCAAAGUUGUGGUUAAGUGGUAAACGAUGUGGGAAGGCUUAGACAGCUAGGAGGUUGGCUUAGAAGCAGCCANNNNNNNNNNNNNNNNNNNNNNNNNNNNNNNNNNNNAAGUGACGCGGUAGAGGAGCGUUCUGUAAGCCUGUGAAGGUGAGUUGAGAAGCUUGCUGGAGGUAUCAGAAGUGCGAAUGCUGACAUGAGUAACGACAAUGGGUGUGAAAAACACCCACGCCGAAAGACCAAGGGUUCCUGCGCAACGUUAAUCGACGCAGGGUUAGUCGGUUCCUAAGGCGAGGCUGAAAAGCGUAGUCGAUGGGAAACAGGUUAAUAUUCCUGUACUUCUGGUUACUGCGAUGGAGGGACGGAGAAGGCUAGGCCAGCUUGGCGUUGGUUGUCCAAGUUUAAGGUGGUAGGCUGAAAUCUUAGGUAAAUCCGGGGUUUCAAGGCCGAGAGCUGAUGACGAGUCGUCUUUUAGAUGACGAAGUGGUUGAUGCCAUGCUUCCAAGAAAAGCUUCUAAGCUUCAGGUAACCAGGAACCGUACCCCAAACCGACACAGGUGGUCGGGUAGAGAAUACCAAGGCGCUUGAGAGAACUCGGGUGAAGGAACUAGGCAAAAUGGCACCGUAACUUCGGGAGAAGGUGCGCCGGCUAGGGUGAAGGAUUUACUCCGUAAGCUCUGGCUGGUCGAAGAUACCAGGCCGCUGCGACUGUUUAUUAAAAACACAGCACUCUGCAAACACGAAAGUGGACGUAUAGGGUGUGACGCCUGCCCGGUGCCGGAAGGUUAAUUGAUGGGGUUAGCGCAAGCGAAGCUCUUGAUCGAAGCCCCGGUAAACGGCGGCCGUAACUAUAACGGUCCUAAGGUAGCGAAAUUCCUUGUCGGGUAAGUUCCGACCUGCACGAAUGGCGUAACGAUGGCGGCGCUGUCUCCACCCGAGACUCAGUGAAAUUGAAAUCGCUGUGAAGAUGCAGUGUAUCCGCGGCUAGACGGAAAGACCCCGUGAACCUUUACUGUAGCUUUGCACUGGACUUUGAGCCUGCUUGUGUAGGAUAGGUGGGAGGCUUUGAAGCGUGGACGCCAGUUCGCGUGGAGCCAUCCUUGAAAUACCACCCUGGCAUGCUUGAGGUUCUAACUCUGGUCCGUGAUCCGGAUCGAGGACAGUGUAUGGUGGGCAGUUUGACUGGGGCGGUCUCCUCCUAAAGAGUAACGGAGGAGUACGAAGGUGCGCUCAGACCGGUCGGAAAUCGGUCGCAGAGUAUAAAGGCAAAAGCGCGCUUGACUGCGAGACAGACACGUCGAGCAGGUACGAAAGUAGGUCUUAGUGAUCCGGUGGUUCUGUAUGGAAGGGCCAUCGCUCAACGGAUAAAAGGUACUCCGGGGAUAACAGGCUGAUACCGCCCAAGAGUUCAUAUCGACGGCGGUGUUUGGCACCUCGAUGUCGGCUCAUCACAUCCUGGGGCUGAAGCCGGUCCCAAGGGUAUGGCUGUUCGCCAUUUAAAGUGGUACGCGAGCUGGGUUUAGAACGUCGUGAGACAGUUCGGUCCCUAUCUGCCGUGGACGUUUGAGAUUUGAGAGGGGCUGCUCCUAGUACGAGAGGACCGGAGUGGACGAACCUCUGGUGUUCCGGUUGUCACGCCAGUGGCAUUGCCGGGUAGCUAUGUUCGGAAAAGAUAACCGCUGAAAGCAUCUAAGCGGGAAACUUGCCUCAAGAUGAGAUCUCACUGGGAACUUGAUUCCCCUGAAGGGCCGUCGAAGACUACGACGUUGAUAGGCUGGGUGUGUAAGCGUUGUGAGGCGUUGAGCUAACCAGUACUAAUUGCCCGUGAGGCUUGACCAU